Molecule: ribosomal RNA, 485 nt
Filed under: uncultured bacterium
Lineage: Bacteria
Description: partial 16S ribosomal RNA
Rfam family: Bacterial small subunit ribosomal RNA
Source: RNAcentral
AUUGAACGCUGGCGGAAUGCUUUACACAUGCAAGUCGAGCGGCAGCACGGGGGCAACCCUGGUGGCGAGCGGCGAACGGGUGAGUAAUACAUCGGAACAUGCCCAGUCGUGGGGGAUAACACUUCGAAAGAAGUGCUAAUACCGCAUACGUCCUGAGGGAGAAAGCGGGGGAUCGCAAGACCUCGCGCGAUUGGAGUGGCCGAUGUCAGAUUAGCUAGUUGGUGGGGUAAAGGCCUACCAAGGCAACGAUCUGUAGCUGGUCUGAGAGGAUGAUCAGCCACACUGGGACUGAGACACGGCCCAGACUCCUACGGGAGGCAGCAGUGGGGAAUUUUGGACAAUGGGGGCAACCCUGAUCCAGCCAUUCCGCGUGAGUGAAGAAGGCCUUCGGGUUGUAAAGCUCUUUCGGCAGGAACGAAACGGUGAGCUCUAACAUAGCUUGCUAAUGACGGUACCUGAAGAAGAAGCACCGGCUAACUACGUGC